AAAUAUUUUUCCCGGACAGUGGAAAAAUACAACAUUUUUCGUUUGGGCUUUAAUUGUUUUGACUUUUGACUAGAAAAAUGGUUAUUUGGAUGCUGAGAAAAAAAAAACUAUAAACUCCAAUCAGUGGAGCCUGAUAUAAUGGCAGAAGGUUUUUUAUUUGAUUUAUAGGAAAGUUGGAGGAGAAGGAAGGAUGUUAAGAAUGCAAGUGAUUGCAAUGAAGAGUCGACCUGUCGUCUUUAUCUUGUUUGUUUGUUAAAGGCAUGUCGCACAGCUUUCAUCCAGUUAUACUACAAAUCGUGCGAGAUCAAGUAACUGAAAUUACUGCCAGUCGUAAAGGAAAUAUAAUGUUGUAUGACCCAAGCCGAAAAGACAAAACACCCUUAUGCUUCAAAUAUCAAAGCAUUUUCUGCGACAUGUCGCAGACCGCCAAUGCCUAUAGGAUAGCAGAAUUGUACCCGUAAAUUAUUACUAGAGUUGAGAGUAAUUUAGGGUCCGUUUGGUUAGAGAUUUCUAGUAACGUUGUUUGUAUUUUUUGGAAUUACGUAAUGUGUGAAAAAUAUGUGUAAUGUUGGUUUAACACUUAAAACUAUUGUUUAAACAACGGUAACAAACAGCCAUUAGUUUCAGUCAGUUAAAGCAGUUUGGAUGCUUUUAGAGGUUCAGUUCAGUUUGUUAGAGAUUAAGCGAACAAUUUUUUUUUUUUUUUUUUCUCAAUUCUCAGGCCAACGUUGAUGUGUCAACUCCAGCCCACCAAGCAGAAAGAGUCAAUUCCCAACAUUCUCAGUCUCUAUCUUUCCAAAACUUGUCAGGGCCUUUUGCUGUGGAGGAUGAUUGGUCUGCGUAAAGAGAGAUAGAUGGUUUAUACAUUCUGCAGAAACUAAACUUUACUUACCCCACUGCGUCAUCAAUUGUCACUGCACAAAUGCCUGCUGUGUUUGCUGUCAACAACUCAUCCUCAGUCUAUGGCAUUGUAGAUUAGGGCACCCUUCUUUUUCUAGAAUAGGCCAUUAGAGCAUCUUCUUCCACUUGCUCAUGAUUCCAAUAAUGAGAAUUCUCACUGUACAUUUUGUCCUUUAGCGAACAGAAAAGGUUACCUUCUCCUAAUGCAAUUCAUGUUUCAGCUAUUCUUUUGCAUUGGUCCAUUAUGAUAUUUGGGGUUCUUUCUCUACUGCCAUGUUGAUGGUUUUAAAUACUUAUUAAUUAUUGUUGAUGAUUGUAUCCAUGAUAAUUGGUCUAUUUAAUGGAGCAUUUGGGGCUUUGGGAUGGGUUAAAAUGAAUUUUCCUUCUGCCCCUCCAAAACCUACUCCUAAAAAGUUGCUGGCUUUUCAGCCCUUGCGUGCUAGCGUUUUCUCUUACUAGUAAAGGGGCUGCUAGUUGUAGUGCGCAGUGUACUAGUAAAAUAGGAAAAGCGGAUUGAGAUUACCAAUAACAGAUGGAGGUUGAGAAUAGAACAUGUUCAGUGCCUUGCCCUUGUCUCCUUCGCCGGAGACUGCAAAUGAUGGGAAUCCUAUCAAUUAAGAAGAGGCAUGGGCAUCGCCUCUCGAUCCCCCCACCCCUUCUUUCUUUUUUACAAAAAUUCUGGUUGGUUUAGCGUUAUGUAAAAUUUUGUUAAUGGAGAUUAUUGCUAUACCAUGUUGUGUGGAUAUAUGUAUAAUUUUUCAAAGUUAGUUUAAGUAAAUGUGUGCCAUGAUGUUGAGGUUUAGGAAUAUGAAUUCUUUUAAAUGAAGGCUAUGAAUUCCCGCUCAUGGUUUUGUCAUUCCAGAUCCUAUUUUCAAUGUCUUAUGUUUCUUGUUUUUGGAUAAUUUAUUAUUUUUUGUUUUAAAUUGAUGGGUAGUUCUUAGAUUUUGGCUUUCUCUUCAACUUUAUUUUUUGUCACUGUUUGGUGUCAAUUCCAUCCUUCGUAUGCUUUCGUUGUCAACUUGUUCCUGUGGCAGUGUGUGUUAGGAACCUGCCCUGGUAUCAUGGUGCAUUAUGUGUGCUGUGCUGCUGCUCAAUGGAGGUGCUAAUUAUGUUAAUGCUACUAUCAUGGCCAGUAUUGUUUUGGCUACUGAAUUGUGUAACCUGCUGUGCUGAUGCCUGCUGUACUGGUGCUGAAAUGCUUGGCAUUGAGUAUCCGGCUGAGCUGAUACCUGCUGCUGAUAUGCCACAAGCAUUAGGUUAGGAGACUUAACACUUGAGAGCUGCUGCCUGCCCUAUCUACUGAGUCUUGUGGUGGCUGUACUAAGCUGUUUGGAGAAGCUAUGGAUGAGAAUGCAAGUGUGCAAGGGUGUGCAUGAGAACAGAUUAGCAUUAGGCCAUGGGUGUAACUGAUUUAGCAUGUGCUGUAUUAAAGGGCUGUUAGGUAAUUAGGGGUAGUUGUAAAUGAAGGAAGGGGUUUCAUAAGCAAACUAGCAUUAUUAGAUCACUUAAAGUUGUCCUUCCCUGAUUAAUUGAUAGCAUAUAUCUAUCUUUUUUUCUAGGCAGAGGCAUUUUUGAAAUACUUCCUAGGCUUAAUAAAAUUACAUUUGAUAGUGUGAUUGAUGAACUAUUGUUUCUCAAUUUUCCACUUGAGUGUAGGUUGCCUUCUGGUUUGAUGAUGUUGGAAUAGGGAAAAACAAAUCAACAGAGUAUCUAUGAGCAACUGCAUGUUCAUGAGAAUCAACUGCAUAUUAUUUAUGCUCAUGAUUUGAAGGUUCCUGGUGACGGGUUGUCAUCUUGAGGACACAGGAUUUUCCAGAAGGUACACAUGGUGUUUGCAGAUUGCUGAGGUUGUCAAUAGUAUGAAAGAUUUAAUGACUUUCUGCCGGGAUAAUGACAUCAGGCCAAUGGGUAAGUAGUUCUCACAUCACAUGCUGCAGUGAUAGCAUGCAAUACUGUCCCCUCUCCCCAUGAAUUAUGGAUCAUUACUUAAAAGAAAAAAGAAAAAAAAAAGGCACACACCAUUUUAGAUUGUUUCUUGAGUUCUUCUCCCCAUUGGCCUUCUUUUCUGUUGAUAUAAUAUCAAUAAUCAAUUGUAGAGAGCUUGAAAAAUUAUUCCUGAGAAACCACCACAACUAAUCUCUGGAAAAAAAAUUAAAAGAAAAGGUGGGUAUAAGGUGUGCUCAAUGCCAGCCAACUGAAAAAGAUAAGUUGAUGGCUACUUUUACUGCUCCCGCCUCCCAGCAGUAAUGUGAAUGAUAGUCUAAAGAUGAUCAACUGAGGACAUUUGACUAGCUCAGAACAGGCAGCAUCAGUACUGCCAGGUUAUUGCAACAAUUUUCUGAGAUAGAACUCCUUGGCCUCGAGUAAACAGGGUAAGGCAAGAGAGUUCUUCAAAUGUGUCUAACCACAGUGCACCUUGUUAAACUGUAUAGAGGCCCUAAAACCUCAGUUCAGGACUAAUCCAAAACUCACCAAUUGAUGGCUUGUCAAGCAAUCUCAAUGUUUCUAUUUAUUUCUUUGAGAACCGGAAUAUACAUACAGGAUCAUACCAUCCAAAAGACAAAGCAGGAGAUGGUCAACAAAAGACGAAAAGCGAAUGGGAAUACUGCGGACAGAGUCAACUGCUAGAUCAACCGAAGGACAGUUGUUGACUUGCCAACAAGAAGCAGAGUGAUCGAUAUUUUUCAAAACAGUUAAGUUCUGGGAACUGUACAGCAACUGUGGCUGCCCCAGGAAAUGCAUUGCGUAGUAGUGCAGGGAGGAUCAGCAGUUAGGAGCUAUCUUAAUAGUGAAUUUCAUGGCAACAACUUCAACAAGAAGAGAGAACCAGAGGUCCCAGAGAAGCAUCUUCUGCCUGAAGCAAUUUUGAACAUUAUUCCUGAUUGUCAUGAAAAAGGAAAGUUCAGUAGCAGCAGUGGUGGUGAUAUGUGCCAUGGAUGGAAGGCAUAACCAUUUUUGGGGUUAUUUUCUUGUGGAUAAGACAGAAUGUUGGGAAGUAGCUUAGCAUGUACAGGGAGUCCUGAAGCAGUUUUUAUGGGCCCUUUUGAUAAUAUCACAUGAAGUGAAGAUCACUUAUAAGCUACUCUUAGAGACUUUUGAGUACCAUGAGUUGGUAAGGUCUGCAGUCUGCACCUUGUUCAUAAUCAAUGUUUACCCGUGUAAUUUCAUACCCUCACAAUCUUAAAUAGCUUUGAUGAUAUAUAUGACAUCACACCAUAUAUCUUUUGGAAUC
This is a long non-coding RNA of Quercus robur (English oak), 4132 nucleotides long. RefSeq lists it as uncharacterized. NCBI's taxonomy places the organism in Eukaryota, Viridiplantae, Streptophyta, Magnoliopsida, Fagales, Fagaceae. The record is from RefSeq and is a predicted model, not a curated record. The transcript is spliced from 4 exons.